UCUUGUAUUUUCGUCUCAUCUAUUCAUUUUGAUGUUCCGAAUCAAUUUCAAAAUGUGUUUUUUUUAUUUCUUAGUUCAAUGGUUUGAUUGCCCUGUCUAAUCUUUUAUUUUGAUUCUGAUUGUAUCUACAUACCCUUUAUUAUUUAUUAUUUUAAUUAUUUAUUAUUUUAGACUUAUUCUAUUCGGGUUGCUAACUCAACGGUAGAGUACUCGACUUUUAAGUGAA
RNAcentral lists this long non-coding RNA (226 nucleotides) under Panax ginseng (ginseng). RNAcentral describes it as "long non-coding RNA (PGIN_LNC003211)". The record is from RNAcentral. Lineage: Eukaryota; Viridiplantae; Streptophyta; Magnoliopsida; Apiales; Araliaceae.